AUACGGAGGGUGCGAGCGUUGUUCGGAAUUAUUGGGCGUAAAGAGCAUGUAGGCGGUCUGUUAAGUCUGGUGUGAAAGCCCGGGGCUCAACCCCGGAAGUGCAUUGGAUACUGGCAGACUUGAGUAUGGGAGAGGAAAGCGGAAUUCCGAGUGUAGGAGUGAAAUCCGUAGAUAUUCGGAGGAACACCAGUGGCGAAGGCGGCUUUCUGGACCAAUACUGACGCUGAGAUGCGAAAGCGUGGGGAGCGAACAGGAUUAGAAACCCUAUUAGUCC
This 274-nucleotide ribosomal RNA is filed under the name uncultured bacterium. RNAcentral's name for it is "partial 16S ribosomal RNA". It matches the Rfam family "Bacterial small subunit ribosomal RNA", at positions 523 to 796 of the family's 1533-position model. The record is from RNAcentral.